UACGUAGGGGGCAAGCGUUGUCCGGAUUUAUUGGGCGUAAAGAGCGUGUAGGCGGCCACGUAGGUCUGCUGUGAAAACUCGAGGCUUAACCUCGAGCUGUCGGCGGAAACCAUGUGGCUAGAGUCCGGAAGAGGAGAAUGGAAUUCCCGGUGUAGCGGUGAAAUGCGCAGAUAUCAGGAAGAACACCAAUGGCGAAGGCAGCUCUCUGGGACGGUACUGACGCUGAGACGCGAAAGCGUGGGGAGCGAACAGG
RNAcentral lists this ribosomal RNA (253 nucleotides) under uncultured bacterium. Its description in RNAcentral is "partial 16S ribosomal RNA". It matches the Rfam family "Bacterial small subunit ribosomal RNA", at positions 524 to 776 of the family's 1533-position model. The record is from RNAcentral.